RNAcentral lists this ribosomal RNA (1415 nucleotides) under activated sludge metagenome. Its description in RNAcentral is "bacterial LSU rRNA". It matches the Rfam family "Bacterial large subunit ribosomal RNA", at positions 1123 to 2522 of the family's 2925-position model. The record is from RNAcentral.
UUAAAGAUAGCGUAAUAGCUCACUGGUCAAGAGAUCUCGUGCCGAAAAUAUAGCGGGGCUAAGCAUCACACUGAAGCUGCGGAUUCAUAUAGUAAUAUAUGAGUGGUAGAGGAGCGUUCUGGAUGGGCAGAAGCAUGAUUGUGAAGACAUGUGGACUGUCCAGAAGUGAUAAUGCUGACAUGAGUAACGAUAAAUAAGGUGAAAAACCUUAUCGCCGUAAACCCAAGGUUUCCUGAGCUAGGGUCAUCCUCUCAGGGUUAGUCGGGUCCUAAGCCGAGGCUAGAAAGCGUAGGUGAUGGGAAACAGGUUAAUAUUCCUUUACUAAUUAUAUUGUGCGAUGCAGGGACGGAGAAGGAUAUGUCUACUGGGUAUUGGUAUCCCAGGGAAAGUAUGUAGGCUCGGUUGGUAGUGAAGUACGCCAACCUUAUGCUGAGGUAUGAGACCAUUUUUCGAGCAAUCGAAGAAGAAGUGACAGACUCCAAGCUUCCUAGAAAAGCUGCUAAGUUUAGAUAUAAUUAUCCGUACCGUAAACCAACUCAGGUGGGUGAGUAGAGAAUACUAAGGCGCUUGAGAUAACCGUUGUUAAGGAACUCGGCAAAUUGCAGCCGUAACUUCGGGAGAAGGCUGGCCUUUUAGCGUGUAAAGACUUGCUCUUGAAGCGUUAGAGGGUUGCAAAGAGCAGGGGGUAGCGACUGUUUACCAAAAACACAGGACUCUGCUAAGUCGUAAGACGAUGUAUAGGGUCUGACGCCUGCCCAGUGCCGGAAGGUUAAGAGGAGUUGUUAGGGGUAACCCGAAGCGACGAAUUGAAGCCCCGGUGAACGGCGGCCGUAACUAUAACGGUCCUAAGGUAGCGAAAUUCCUUGUCGGGUAAGUUCCGACCUGCACGAAUGGCGUAACGACUUCCCCACUGUCUCAACAACGGACUCAGUGAAAUUGAAUUCGCGGUGAAGAUGCCGCGUACCCGCAGCAAGACGAAAAGACCCCGUGCACCUUUACUAUAGUUUGACGCUGGUUACGGGAAUUACAUGUGUAGGAUAGGUGGGAGGCUUUGAAGCAGUGGCGCUAGCCAUUGUGGAGUCAACCUUGAAAUACCACCCUUGUGAUUUCUGUAGUCUAACCUAGGCAUUUACAGUGUCAGGGACCGCGUCUGAUGGGUAGUUUGACUGGGGCGGUCGCCUCCUAAAGAGUAACGGAGGCGCACAAAGGUGGGCUCAACCUGAUUGGAAACCAGGUGUCGAGUGCAAAGGCAUAAGCCCGCUUAACUGCGAGAGAAACGACUCGAGCAGGUACGAAAGUAGGUCUUAGUGAUCCGGCGGUUCUUCAUGGGAAGGCCGUCGCUCAACGGAUAAAAGGUACGCCGGGGAUAACAGGCUUAUCUCCCCCAAGAGUUCACAUCGACGGGGAGGUUUGGC